AAUACCAAUACUUUGAUUAAAGAAGAUGGGGAAUUCCAGCAUGAAAAGAUCAAACCUUACACUAGAAAAUGGGAAACAAGUGUUAUGGAUACAAUUGAUCAAUUAGACCUCAUAUCAAAGCAAGAAAAAUCUGCAGUUCACCACCAAUGUGAUGUCACACAUCAUGUACCGGCGGUGAACUGCAGAUUUUUCUUGCUUUGAU
Molecule: unclassified non-coding RNA, 202 nt
Filed under: Hevea brasiliensis (rubber tree)
Lineage: Eukaryota; Viridiplantae; Streptophyta; Magnoliopsida; Malpighiales; Euphorbiaceae
Source: RNAcentral